CCAGUUGAUCUGGUUUCACCAAACCAGUGUGUAGGGAUCGACUAACCCAUCGUAGCGUGUGGUCUUGGCUCAACCCAAACCUCCCAACAAAGCACCGACAGCUCUUUCAAAUUCAUUUGAACCACCCCAGCCCCAGCCUCUUACCCUGUCCAUGGCGUGGACCACCCCGACCGCACGGCGUCGGUGCGGCCUCCUCGCGUCGACGGCGCGGCCAUCCCCGCCGCGACACCGGACCUACUCGCACCUGCCUGGCAUCCCGGCACCCCUAGCCCGUGGCGCCACCCCUACCAGCACUGCUGCAGCAGUGCCCCUGUAGUAGCGAUAGAUCUGGUCAGCCAUGACUGCUCCCGCACCACCAAGAUGGUGCCCCAGCCACGACACCUCCCCGUACUGGCGGCGGCAGCAACGACACCACCAGCAAUGGCAACCUCCACAUCACCAUAGAUUCACCGUCACCUUCCUCGGAUCCAGCCGCCCCUAUACCCUGACGACAUCUGCACAUCCUUUAUGAUGCAGCCUUGGUGAUGCAGCGGGCAAGUACGGAUCCUGGUGUGGACCUCCCUCCUUUCUGUCCCUAACUGCAUUUCUCAUCUAUUCCCACCUUUCCCUUGGCAGUGGACUUUCUUCUACUGCAUGAUUGAUUCUGAUGUCUUCUACAUGAACAUACCGAGCCGUAGAGGUGCCAAGUCAAUCUAUGCGUGAGUAUUCUGUCCACAUUCCCCUUUGAUUGUCCACGUUCCAUUUUUGUACUUGAAAGUAAUAAAUUUAGAAUUGUCCAUGUUUCUCUGGUCCUUCACCAGUGUUUUAAUGCCUUUUUCAUGUGUACAAGGUGAUUCCGACCUGUAUGGGUUUUAUGUGGGUUUUUAUGCAUAUCAAAUAUGGCAAGUGAAUAGCUUUAAAAUUACCCAUCAUUUGUGAACUGUACAAGAUAAUGUUUUUUAUGGCAAACGUUUUCUAUGUAACCUUGCUUGUGUUUCCAUACUUGUUGAACGUAGGUGUCUUUUUUAAACUGUAGACAAAAUGUUUCUUUUGUGUUUCUAUUUUUUUUGUUGUGAUUUUUGCAUUAUUGUAGCCAAGAUUUUUUAACCUUGCAUUAUUUCUAGAAGCUCCUUUCGAUUUGGUCGGCUGGAUCUGUUCCAAAUUAUUUCACUUGUCCUUGUUGUCUUGUUGAUUAGCACUAUUCGUCUCUAGUCCUAUGUGCUUUGAUGUCUUAAGUCAUGUGUGGUUUGGUCUCUAGCAACAGAUUUUAAUAUUUAUGCCCUUUCAUCUCCCGGCAAUUUGGAUUGAGUUUGAUUCUGUUAAUGAUGCAGUCUAUAAGAUGCCAAUGUUUCUCUGUUAUUGUUUAGAGCAACUCUAUGUGGACUUCUAAAUUCUAAAUAUAUCUGUAAAUUGUUUGAGCAUACUUUUAUGCAUUGUUUCUCUGUUAAUUAUACAAUUGAAUUCCAGCAGUGGAUACAAAGAUCCACGUUUAUGGUUCAUACAUAAUUCAUCUUCAUUGUUUUGUUUGUAGAUUUUGAGUUAUUAUGCUUGAGUGCAUAAGUUUCUAUGCAUGGCUAAACUAUAGCUUGGUAUGCAUUCUAUAUAUUUUUACAACAAAUUAGCCUAUAUUUUUGGAGCAGUUAACUAUACACUUCUAUACAGCUAUAUACAUAAUUUGAGCACCUUUUUUAUGCAAUGUUGAUGCUUUUAUUUAUAGAAAAAAUUGUUUUUGCGCUUGCAUAUAUGAGUUUCUAUGCAUAGUAAUUAUGAUUUGGCAAUCUGACUAAAUAAAUAUCUAUGUAUAAUUAGAGCAUAUUUCUAUGCAUUAUCUAAGCACAUUAUUUGACCUGAUUAGAAUAAAAAUUUGUAUCAUUCAUUAUCCAGGCCAAGGAGGCCAUCGCCACGGUCCUUAAGGAUGUCCUCCUCAACGACAACAACGCUGAGGAUAAAUUCAACAACGGUAGCAAGGAAUUGCGUCCAAGUCAUUGUCGUGAAGCAAUCUUUCACUGCAUAUCAUUAGUUAUUCAUGCUUCUUUUUAUAUAUUAUAAGAACAAAUUUCUAUGUAAUAUCAGAGUAUAUUUCUAUAUAUUAUCAGAGCAUAUUUCUAUAUGUUUUUGUUGGCUUCUUUCUAUGCAUUGUUAGAACACUUUGACAAACAUUCUUGGAAUAAUUAUCUGUACACUUCCAUAUAAUUCUAUACUUUGCUGGUACACAAUUUUAUAUAUUGUGUGAGUUGGGGUCAUCACGAUGAUAGUACAAUAAUCCCCUAGAAGGGAGGUUAUUUUGGGGUUCUAUGUGUUAUUCCUUUAUUAUCUAUACGUCCCCAAAGUGACAAUAAUGGUUUGGUUUAGGCUUGUCAUGAUUUUGGAUAAAAUAAUCUUCCACAGGGCAGGGUUUUAUUGGGUGUUUAUAUUGUUUUGUGCCUGCUAAAACAUGUUUAUAUGUGUUUUUGCAGCUAUAUGAUUUUCACGUGUACUAAAACAUGUUUCUAUACCUUUCUUUGCCACCGUAAUGUUACUGCGCCUCCUCAAACAUGUUUCUAUGCCUUUUUGUGGUGCAGCUAUAUGACAGUAAUGUUUUCUAUGCAUUUGAUUUUGAUUUUUAUAUUUGAAAGUAAUAAAUUUUGAAUUGUGUUUUAAUGCCUUUUUCAUGCGUACAAGGUGAUUCAGACCUGUAUGGGUUUUUAUGCGAGUUUUUAUACAUAUCAAACAUGAAAACAUGACAAGUGAAUAGCUUUAAAAUUACCCAUCAUUUAUGAACUAUAUGAGACAAUGAUUUUUUAUUGGAACAAAUUUCUAUGCAAUAUCGGAGUAUAUUUCUAUAUAUUAUUAGAGCAUAUUUCUAUACGUUAUUUGUUGGCUUCUUUCUAUGCAUUGUUUGAACACUUUGACAUAGAUUCUUGGAAAAAUUAUCUGUAUACUUCUACAUAAUUAUAUACUUUUCUGGUACAUAAUUAUAUACAUUUUUUAGGUUGGGGUCGUCAUGAUGAUGGUACAAUAGUCCCCUAGAAGGGAGGUUAUUUUUGGAUUCUAUGCGUUGUUCCUCUAUUAUUUAUUAGUGCCUAAAGUGACAAUAAUGGUUUAGUUUAGGAUUGUCACGAUUUUGGAUCUCCCACAUGGCAAAGUUUUAUUAGGUAUUUUAAAUUAUUCGUGCCUGCUAAGACAUGUUUAUAUGUGUUUCUUGUAGCUAUAAGGUUUUUGCGCUUACUAAAACAUGUUUCUAUACCUUUCUUUGCCACCGUAAGUUUUUUACGCUUGCUCAAAUAUGUUUCUAUGUCUUUGUUGUGGUGUAGGAUGGUUGGAAGAAUUCCUCUAUUUUUGGUGUGAGGUCAAUGGUGGCUCGGACAUCAUAGGACAUGACUUGCGACGUUCACAACUUCCUUGGCUUGUGACGGUGGCGUAGUGUGAUAUUCGAUAUAGUUGAUGGGUUAAUGUAAAAAGUUAGUUUUCCAUAUGUUGUGUUUAUAUGCUUGGAUGAUAUGAGCGAAACUAUUGAUUUCUAUGUAACCUCUGUUGGGUUUCAAUAUUUGGUUAACUGAGUGUCUAUGCAUGUUGUGAGUUGGGAACAUUAUGGAUAGUCUAUGUAGUGUUUUGUAUGUUUCAUUCCCUUAAAAGGAAGUAUGGUGUAAAGUUUCUAUACAUUGUUGUUCAAUUAAAUAAACAUAUCCUCG
RNAcentral lists this long non-coding RNA (3650 nucleotides) under Sorghum bicolor (sorghum). RNAcentral's name for it is "long non-coding RNA (SBIC_LNC003265)". Lineage: Eukaryota; Viridiplantae; Streptophyta; Magnoliopsida; Poales; Poaceae. The record is from RNAcentral.